RNAcentral lists this non-coding RNA (30 nucleotides) under Rattus norvegicus (Norway rat). The record is from RNAcentral. Lineage: Eukaryota; Metazoa; Chordata; Mammalia; Rodentia; Muridae.
ACUGCUAUCGAUGUCGACAGUCACAGCAUU